This 374-nucleotide ribosomal RNA is filed under the name uncultured organism. RNAcentral's name for it is "partial 16S ribosomal RNA". It matches the Rfam family "Bacterial small subunit ribosomal RNA", at positions 527 to 896 of the family's 1533-position model. The record is from RNAcentral.
GAAGGGGCCAAGCGUUGUUCGGAAUUAUUGGGCUUAAAGAGCGCGUAGGCGGGAAGUUAAGUGUCUUGUGAAAUCCCUUGGCUCAACCAAGGAACUGCUCGGCAAACUGACUUUCUUGAGGCAAGUAGAGGUGCAUGGAACUCUAGGUGGAGCGGUGAAAUGCGUAGAUAUCUAGAGGAACGCCAGUGGUGAAAACGGUGCACUGGGCUUGAUCUGACGCUGAGGCGCGAAAGCGUGGGGAGCGAACGGGGGAUUAGAUACCCCGGUAGUCCACGCUGUAAACGAUGUCUACUAGGUUGCGGGAGGUCUGACCCCCUGUCGCAGCCGAAGCAAAAGUGAUAAGUAGACCGCCUGGGGAUACGGUCGCAAGGCUA